CUUGGUCAUUUAGAGGAAGUAAAAGUCGUAACAAGGUCUCCGUUGGUGAACCAGCGGAGGGAUCAUUACCGAGUUUACAACUCCCAAACCCCUGUGAGCAUACCUAUACGUUGCCUCGGCGGAUCAGCCCGCGCCCCGUAAAAAGGGACGGCCCGCCCGAGGACCCCUAAACUCUGUUUUUAGUGGAACUUCUGAGUAAAACAAACAAAUAAAUCAAAACUUUCAACAACGGAUCUCUUGGUUCUGGCAUCGAUGAAGAACGCAGCAAAAUGCGAUAAGUAAUGUGAAUUGCAGAAUUCAGUGAAUCAUCGAAUCUUUGAACGCACAUUGCGCCCGCCAGUAUUAUGGCGGGCAUGCCUGUUCGAGCGUCAUUUCAACCCUCAAGCUCAGCUUGGUGUUGGGACUCGCGGUAACCCGCGUUCCCCAAAUCGAUUGGCGGUCACGUCGAGCUUCCAUAGCGUAGUAAUCAUACACCUCGUUACUGGUAAUCGUCGCGGCCACGCCGUAAAACCCCAACUUCUGAAUGUUGACCUCGGAUCAGGUAGGAAAUAACCUGAGUUUAAGCAUAUCAAUAAGCGGAGGA
Molecule: ribosomal RNA, 583 nt
Filed under: uncultured Ascomycota
Lineage: Eukaryota; Fungi; Ascomycota
Description: eukaryotic LSU rRNA
Rfam family: 5.8S ribosomal RNA (bases 218-371)
Source: RNAcentral